CAGCCGCGGUAACACCGGCAGCUCUAGUGGUAGCAAUUUUAUUGGGCCUAAAGCGUCCGUAGCCGGUUUAAUAAGUCUCUGGUGAAAUCCUGCAGCUUAACUGUGGGAAUGCUGGAGAUACUAUUAGACUUGAGACCGGGAGAGGUUAGAGGUACUCCCAGGGUAGAGGUGAAAUUCUGUAAUCCUGGGAGGACCGCCUGUUGCGAAGGCGUCUAACUGGAACGGUUCUGACGGUGAGGGACGAAAGUUAGGGGCGCGAACCGGAUUAGAUACCCGGGUAGUCCUAACUGUAAACGAUGCGGACUUGGUGUUGGGUGGCUUUGAGCUGCUUCAGUGCCGAAGGGAAGCUGUUAAGUCCGCCGCCUGGGAAGUACGGUCGCAAGACUGAAACUUAAGGAAUUGGCGGGGGAGCACCACAACGCGUGGAGCCUGCCGGUUUAAUUGGAUUCAACGCCGGACAUCUCACCAGAGGCGACAGCUGUAUGAUAGCCAGGUUGAUGACUUUGCUUGACUAGCUGAGUGGUGGUGCAUGG
RNAcentral lists this ribosomal RNA (533 nucleotides) under uncultured archaeon. RNAcentral describes it as "bacterial SSU rRNA". It matches the Rfam family "Archaeal small subunit ribosomal RNA", at positions 462 to 997 of the family's 1478-position model. The record is from RNAcentral.